GUGUCAGCAGCCGCGGUAAUACGGGGGGAGCAAACGUUGUUCGGAAUCACUGGGCGUAAAGGGCGCGUAGGCGGCUCGGCAAGUGGUGUGUGAAAUGCCCUGGCUCAACCAGGGAACUGCGCACCAAACUGCCGGGCUUGAGGGCAGUAGAGGAAGCUGGAAUUCCUGGUGUAGCGGUGAAAUGCGUAGAUAUCAGGAGGAACACCGUUGGCGAAGGCGGGCUUCUGGGCUGACCCUGACGCUGAGGCGCGAAAGUUGGGGGAGCGAACAGGAUUAGAAACCCGAGUAGUCC
RNAcentral lists this ribosomal RNA (292 nucleotides) under uncultured bacterium. Its description in RNAcentral is "partial 16S ribosomal RNA". It matches the Rfam family "Bacterial small subunit ribosomal RNA", at positions 505 to 796 of the family's 1533-position model. The record is from RNAcentral.